Molecule: long non-coding RNA, 880 nt
Organism: Gossypium raimondii (Peruvian cotton)
Lineage: Eukaryota; Viridiplantae; Streptophyta; Magnoliopsida; Malvales; Malvaceae
Exons: 3
Source: RefSeq, a predicted model, not a curated record
AAAUUAAAAGUUAAAACAAAAUCACUUCCAAAAUCCCUAACUAAGCCCGUGUCCUCCCUCCUCCCUUUUUUUCCCAAUUCGAAAAUCUUCACCUCCGGUCCACCCUCCUCCACCGAUCCACCUCUGGUCCUCCACGGCUGACGGCUCCACCCAAUUCCAAAAUCAGAGUACCUUGAUUUGAGCUCUGCCUCUGCGAAUCUUUCUAAAGCAAUUGAUUGGGUACAGGAAAUGAUAUUCAACCUACCCAUCGAUUAGUUUCCUUCUGCUUGAUGGACUCAGCUUUAGCUGCUUGAAGUUUGUUGCAAAGGUUACAACUUGCUAAACGCAUCAGAAUUUCAGUUUUUACUUUUUCCGUGUUUCAUCAUGUAUUUAGUGGCACUGCUGCAGAUUUGGCAAUAUUUUAGCUUCAAAUUUCUUUUUCUUCAUUUCCUUCUUAACAAAUGAAAAGAAAAGGAGAAAGAAAUGCAGAAAAAGUAAACAAAAACAGAUUUGGUACCAUUUUAAAAGUUAAUAUUCAUGGCCUAUGUGUUACCCUAAAUGUCUAGUUCAGGAUGUCAUCAGUUUCUACUCUCUGCCUUCACCAAUGAGCGAGUACCUGAAGAUGUAUAAAAUAGGGAACACAAUAAUAUCAUGCUGGUUUGUAAAGCCUUCUUUGUCCAGAAAAUCCUGCUUAGUUGCCCAAAGCAGCACAUUAGCUCUCUCUAUGUGUCUCUCUCUCUCUCACCCACGCACAUAUGUUUCCAUGAGCCUGCAAAUUCGUAUCUUGCAAACUGAUAUCACCCUUCUUUCGACUCAUGCUAUUUACUUGGACUUUUACUUAUGUUUUUUAUUAUGAUCUUUUUGUAUUAUUUUUGUUGUUUAUUUGGAAUCAUGUUGUUUA